CUCCCGUGGGGGAAGGCAGGGUGCUGAUGCCUUCCCCGGCGGCAGAGAGCAGCUCUCCACCGUCUCUCUCCGCCAACCCCGCGCUUGGCCUGGCGCCCGGCCGCCUUUCACUGCCGCCUUUUCAUGCGCCUUAAUUCACUGGCGUUUCCUUUCUUGCUCCUUGCGAGGAACAGAGGGAGAGCUUGUUCCAGCAGACGGGCCCCAUCCGCUCCACCCACCCGGCUCUGCUGGAGCAAAAAGGGCUGGAAAAGAAGGAUGGAGGCGAAAGGGGUAUCUCCCACCCCUCCGGUGGCCCCGCCGUGCCGCCCCGCCGGCGUGCUGCUUCCCAGCAAAUACGGUCUGCAGAGAUGCCAUCGGCCCCGUCUGCUCUUUGGGUGCAUCCUGCCCAGGUGCAAGCUUGGCACCCAAAGCCUUGGGUGUCACGGGGUGGUGAUUCCUCCCUGUAGCCAGACGGGGCACGGGGAUGAAAUGAUUUGCCAGUGGAGAAUCAGGGCAGGGUAAUGAUCCUGGUCCUGCUGCCAUAAGGAUGACUUUCCUCCCAGGAAGAGCCAAACCCUCCUACAAGUACAGCCUUGUCUCGGGCAGGGGCCAGAUCCUGCUCGGUGCGGAGCUCACCUCCCAGCUCACCCAGCCGUGCCGCUUUCUUUUGCAAAUGCCCUAAACCUUGACAACGACCUAUUUUCCCAUCUGUUGCGCAAAGUUGCUUUCCUAGAAAGAGGCUUUUAUAACACACAGUCCAACCAGCCCAGCUCUCCUCCCCGUGUCUAACAGCAAGGCUUCGAUGGCCGGCAGGUUUAGCUUAGCUCAAACUCACUCCCCUUGGUGAGCCAGGAGUCCCGAUGGGAUGAUACCUGAAACUAUCCUGAGACUGCCAGCCCGGUUUGCUGAGACAUCAGAUAAACAAUAACUCUGCUUUCAAGUCCACUCCUCAAACUUUCUUUUUCUUAUUAGUGCUUUUCGUCCAUCUGCUCCUGCUCCAGCAUUCAGCAAAGCUCGGAGAAAGCUUUUCCUUUCUCCAGACAUUUCUCCCCUGUUCCCAUCCUCAUCUCUCACUGGCAGUGAAAACAUUUGUUUUCUUUUAAAUUUCACAUUUUUAAAAAGAGAUUUUUUUUAAAUAAAAUAAUUCUCAUCCUUCCUCCGUAAUGCUUC
RNAcentral lists this long non-coding RNA (1149 nucleotides) under Calidris pugnax (ruff). RNAcentral describes it as "lncRNA (ENSCPUG00000019125.1)". Lineage: Eukaryota; Metazoa; Chordata; Aves; Charadriiformes; Scolopacidae. The record is from RNAcentral.